GACGAACGCUGGCGGCGUGCUUAACACAUGCAAGUCGAACGGAAAGGCCCUGCUUUUGUGGGGUGCUCGAGUGGCGAACGGGUGAGUAACACGUGAGUAACCUGCCCUUGACUUUGGGAUAACUUCAGGAAACUGGGGCUAAUACCGGAUAGGAGCUCCUGCUGCAUGGUGGGGGUUGGAAAGUUUCGGCGGUUGGGGAUGGACUCGCGGCUUAUCAGCUUGUUGGUGGGGUAGUGGCUUACCAAGGCUUUGAUGGGUAGCCGGCCUGAGAGGGUGACCGGCACGGUUGGGACUGAGACGGGGCCCAGCCUCGGGGGGGAGGGAGCAGUGGGGAAAAUGGCGAAGGGGCGGAGGCCCGUACGCGGCGGCGCCCGGUGGGGGGUGAGGGCCUUCGGUUAGUAACCCGGUUCCGCCUGGGACGUGGGGGGGGUGACGGUAGUGGGAAAAGAAGCGCCGGCUAACUACGUG
RNAcentral lists this ribosomal RNA (468 nucleotides) under uncultured bacterium. RNAcentral's name for it is "partial 16S ribosomal RNA". It matches the Rfam family "Bacterial small subunit ribosomal RNA", at positions 28 to 507 of the family's 1533-position model. The record is from RNAcentral.